Molecule: non-coding RNA, 73 nt
Filed under: unclassified sequences
Source: RNAcentral
UGGCUCGCUAUGGUGGCGUACCCCGAAAGGGCGCGGCGUUGUUUGAAACGCAGGACACCUAAAGCGGGCUUUU